AGGUGCAGAGAUUGUCCCUGUAGAAUGGGAAGAAGACAUGAGUGGACAAAACGACUUAGGUAUUAUAGUCACAUUUCCUUCUAGGAGCUGGGCCUUCAUUUCCCAUCAGUGGUAUUUAUCAGCCUCGGCUACUCAGCAAGGAUUCUGCCUUCGUAAAUUUCCAGAAGAGCAGCAGGCACCAAGUUCUACUUUCAUGGAUAUUUCAAGACUCUAGGAGAAGCCUAUCAAGGUCUUUCAGGAGACAUCUUACUAUGCUCCACUUGGAUGGCAACCCCAGUAGGAGACUUCAGAUUGUACAGUUCAGUGAGCAUCCACCCAAGGAUGCAGUGCCAGUUUCUUCUUUUCCAGAUACUCUCAGUCUCUAAAAGUGAUUAUCUUGCAACCCUGCCGAUCUCUUGGCUUCAUGAGGAAUGAGGAAGCAAGCCUCUAGAAAUAUCUUUCACCAAGGACCCACGAGAACACUCGCCCUUGGAAACCAGCUGCUGUGCAGUAAGAAACCCAAGUCACAUGGAUGGCCACGUGUUGGCACUCUGGUUGAGAGCCCCACCUGGGCUCCUAGCUGACAGUCAGCAUCACCUAGCAGCCAUAGACCCUGACUUGUUUCCCUUUGUUUUUUUCUAUCACCACACUGGUUUCCCCAGAGGACAUUGACGUUGACAGAGAAAGACCAAAGGAAUCUUUGUGACUUCAUCCAAAUGUCACAGCAAGACUGAAGCCAAUUUGAACGAGAUGUUGUUAUUCGCAUCUGAAGGAGUCUUGAUAUAAAGGUGAGGACACUGGAAUAAUGGCUGGAACUUCAGUACCGAAGAGAACAGUUUGGGGAAGGAGUGGAAGGAAAAAUAACUACUUAAACUGCCCGAGGUGCCUGAGGUUUUCCUAAAGAAGCAGCCAGAUUAUUACGCUGGGGAUCCUGCUCUGCCAAUGGUAAGUUGACCCUGGCCCAGGAUGAAUAACAAUCUUUGCCAAGUUUCAGUGAAUUCCAAUAGCAGUCAUUUUACUAACUGUGAUUUUGAGGGGGCCAGCGGGAGGUGCAGGCUGGUGGAAAGCCUUAGGGAGUUUCAGAAAUACUUAAGUGUUGGACUCAUUUUAGAGGCAUCUCUUCAGAUGGAAGAAUGAGCUGCCUCUAUUUCACAGAAUGGCUGCCUGCUGCCAGAUCAGGAUUUCCCCCAUGAAACCUCUCCUAGUGAAUAGGUUUGCAAUAGCAAGUGACUCAGACAUAUGGAGCUUCUCCCCAAUUAAAAGAAAAUCCUUACUUAAAAUCAAAAAGACAUUUUAAUUUUACCUCUUGGGAUAAAAGAAAAUAAUAGCAAUAAGUAUUUUCCAUUUUGCGUAGUUCUAUAAACCUUAUCUCUAGGAGUUUUAUUUUACUUCCAGCUCAGGGAGGGCUGUGGUUUCAGGGUUGCAGAGGGCUUCUUUUGGAUGUGGUCGCUGAAGCUGUCUGGAGCUAAUGUUUUAUUAGAAGUGACAUCAAAAUGCAGAAAGCAAUCCCUGUGAAAAGGAGCAGAAAGUGGUCCGUGCCAUGACGCUCCCAGAAAUAUAAGAACAGUGAAAAAUUUAAGACUCAGAAGCAAAAACAGGAAGGACCAGAAAUUCACUUUCAGAAGAGCUGGAGGACUUCCUCCGUAAUCCCAUCUUCUCUCCACGUGUUGGUGUAACUAAUCCUCGCCAUCUGCACAAACAGAUCAAGGGGCAUGCAUCUUUGCAGUGUUUCUCUGGGAGGCCUCUUCUCUCUCCAGGUUGAGGGGGAGGACUUCGGCACUAAUUGAUUCCACCUUAGAAGGCAGGAUAGAUAGUUAAUAAGCACAGUUUCCUUAGUACCUUUCAGAAGGAUCUGCACGAAGUUACAGAAAAAAAAAAAAAAAAGGAGUUGAACUUUGGAGAUUUUCUAGCUUAUUAAAUUUUCCAGCAGUUUAAUGAUGGAUCAAAUACAUAUCAGCAAGUUUAAAACCAACUAAUACCAGGUAGAGAGAAGCAACUGGGCUUUUGGGCAAUUCAGUGGGGACUGGGGAAUGCCGGGAACCGAUUUGAAUAUUCCACCUCACUUUGUGUGACUGAGGUGUUGACAGGGCUAGGAUGGGUCUGUGUCACGCUCCGGCUGGGUCCAGAAGAAAGGUAAACAUAAGAUUCCUAAACCCUCCUCCCCGACCAUGCUCUAUGAAUGCAUCAAUCUUUUAUUUAUUGGGCAUACAGGAUAAAGCAACAGCGGGAUCUGUGUUCAAGGAGCUCAAGUGCAAUUGGGGAAUGGACACAUAAAGAACUAACAAUACAAGAGCAUAAUUAUUGGAAUAAUUCAGAGAUGUAGGAAGUGAUUGCAAACUUCUGGUGGGAAGAGACAAUUUCUUAUACUACUAAUUUCCUGAAGAAAAAUGUCUCAAUGUCCUAAACACCUUGCAGUCUGUGGGACAGGCUGUUUAAAUAGCACGAGUGAAGUGGAGAUUUGGCAAUCGGUGAUUCACAUGUGGAGGAUGAAACAUGAAGAGGGUGAGCAGAAAAUGUGGCGGAGAGGCUGAGUUUCUACCACUGUUACACAGGAAAAAAAGACAGGAAGUAAGCGAUCAGGAAAUGCAGUAACAAUAGCCUUUUCCUGGAAGAGUGGCUCUGAAGCGAUGACUAAAGGUCCAGACGUGCUGGGUUUAACUGGCAGAGCCCAAGACCAGGGGCCACCGUGGAGAGAGGGGCAGAGGUUUAUUUGUGGGUUGGACCCAGAAGCAAAGGAACUCAAUACUGAGAAAGGACCAGGAGAAAAAUGAAUUAAUGAAGCCUCUGCAAAGCUCUGAGUGAAGAAUGCUAUGGUGGCCAUCCAUGGUCUGCCCUGCCCAGUGCCCUUCAUCCACACACACAGUAAAUCUCUUGCUUUUGGAAACCACAUCUCUCUGAUACUGAUCUUAUGGUUUGGAUGGAGAUGGCACUACUCCCUGGCUCUAAUGGGGACUCAACUCCAACCACUGAGAACACCACAUCUUUCUGGCCAUGGUAACUAAUUCUGGGGUGGGCCCUUGACUAAUGCCAGAUGAAACAGAGACAAGCCUGAACAUCUUGUUCAAAUUCUUGGGAGAGAGAUCAUUUCUUUCUGUUGGGAUUGCUAAGCUGGCAGAAUGUACACCUAGAGCUGCUGGAAACCAUCUUGCCACCACAGAAGGAGAACCUGCCACAGAAGGAAGCCAACAUAAAGGAAAGCAGAGCCAGGGAUGGGUAAUAAUUCCUGAUGACACCCUAUGAGUAUCUGGAUCCAGGCGUACGCGAAUCCAGACUACUCAGGUGUUUGUUAUAUGAACAAAUAAAGUCAUUUUUUUUUUUGUUCCAGUCAGUGUGAGAUUUUUAAAAAUCUCCAAGAAUUUGAAAUCUAAAUAUUCUAUACCCAGAAAUGAAGAACCUAUCAAUGUAUAAGUUUAUAGCCUGGAGAAAUGUCAGAAUAUUCUGUUCAUUUUCAUGGUGUUACAAAAAAGAAAAAUAUCUCAGUGAUGAGACUGUUUCCCUGUUGGCUGGUUUCCAAAAUAUGUCAGGAUGAGAAAUCAUAUUAUUCUUUUUCUCGCUCCCUAAUGUGUUUCUGACAACCACAUGGUGUUCAGAUAGCCACUGUUCAUGUACAAAUUCCCUCCCUGUCUGGCCAACCUUAUCGUGCUCAGUCGUAUCUCUGUUUUGCAAAGACUAGGUGUCCCUUCUCCCUCUUGUCUUUGCUCUACACAUCCCAUCUCUUAUCUGGAGCUCUGUGGAAGCCAAGUUUCUCUUUUCAGAUGAGCAUCUCCCCACACUAACAUAUGAAUCACAUUGACAUUACAGAUUGUCCUUACCCUCCAGGUCUCGAAGAAAAGAGAAGGCUAGGAAGGCUUAAGUAGUUGUACGGGUGGCAAACUACGGAAAGAGAAAUGAGACUGCUGAGCCCACAAAUGCAAACAGAAGUUCACUUCAGCCCUGUGUUAGAAGGAUCAAACAAGAGAGCAAGUUCGUGCUGUCCAUCUGUUACCAGGAGCCAUAUCUUAGACCCCCGAUGUAGGAUUGUAAAACAGAGUGGGCCCAAGGCCAAGAGGGCAUUGAAACUGGGAUUUCCCAAUUCCAAAUGUCUGCUUUACACUGUAGGAAAACCAUGCUCAUUUGGUGAGAAUUUAUAUCAUAUUCUGUACCAGUUUGCAAUGGUCAGAUGAGGCCCAGCACUGGCCUGAGCAUCCCUAGAUUAGAGAUUGAAAACUCCACUGCCCGUGGGUGCCAGGAAGCUGGCAGGGUUGGGUGAAGGGGACUGAGUGGGGCCUGAGUACUCGCUUGCAUAUUUAAAGGGAGCCGCCACUGUUCAGCCCCAUCCAGGGGGCAUGUGCAUGUGCAUGUGCACUGCGGCUGCCAGCUCUUCAAUGCUUCACAGAAGGGCUGGAAACCCAGAAGCCAUCAGUUUUAAACUCUGACUUGACAAUAACAUCAGUGAUAGUGCCAGGUGGCUGGAUUUCGCGUUGUGCUUAAACUUAGUUUAGUUCACUUUGGACAGAACCCAAAGUGUCGUGGUUUAGAGCACAAACUCUGGUGUCCAGCCAACCUGGAUUUUUGGCUUGGCUUUGACACUUACUAAUGUCAUGACCCCUUAGCCAAGCGACUUAGUGUCUUGGCGAUGCUUCCACAUCUGCUUCGUGGGUGGGGUGAAGGGAGCGACAGAAUUUGAGGUUAAAUGACACAAUGCUCUUGAAACUCCUACGCUGUGAUUACAUAAAAGUGUAAAGCUUGAAUAAAUGGUGGCAAUUCUAGGACUAGAGCUGACAGAAAUCCAUGGAAGAUAUUUUUAUGUUCACCAGAAACAGAAAGUCAAAGAGACAAUAUUGUGCAACGGUUGAGGGUGGCAGAAACCCUGGAGUCAAGUCUGCUCUCCUUCUAGCCAUGAGUCUUUGGACUCAGUUUUCUCGUCUGUAAAAUGGGGAUGUAAGGUUGCCCAUCCCAAAAGAUUCUGAGGAGAAUCACAUGAGUUAACACACAUAACUGAGUUAACAUUCCUGAAAUACUUAGAACAAAGUCUGACACACAGUCUGGACUAUGGGAGUGAAGGGUUAUAAUACUAUUAUUGCAAUAAAGUUUUAAGGGCUCUUGUGAUGACUUUGUCACUUAAGUAAGUCUACACAUCUCUGGAACUUGUGGUUUACAUUAUACUAACUUUAAUAACACCUGGUGCAAUUAUUUUUUACCUUAAAAAAGUUGGAAAAGUUUACUUACUAUUAUAAGGGCCACUUCAGAUCCACAAUGAAUGCUACAAAAAUGCAGAGUAUAGAAAAUGAAUGCAAUUAUGUCAAGCCCUUUAAAAGUAGAGUUUACAAAACUGACCUAGAAAGAGUCAAGUAGAUUAGAAAAAAAUUGUUGAGAGCCUAUUGUUUGCAGUUCACAUUGCUAGGCCUAGAAACAGAGCUAAAACGAUAAAUGAGGCAGGUCAGCACCUCUACUGCAAGCUAACGUUCAUGUUCACACACGCUGGCACACGGCUGGCGUGCGGGCAUUUCCAGAGAUCUUUUACUACUCUCAGAGGGUACCUGGUAGUGCUUGUGUACAGGGGAUAAAGAUGAAUACUGAGUUCAGAAGACCUGCAGACAAGAGCUGCUCCGGGCGGGCGGGCGGCACAAGUACCAAGGCCGGAGUGGGGAGCGCAGCCCGGACGUCGGAGGUCGGCGCGCGGUAGGACAGGGGACCCGCGUAGGGGGCGGGUGCGCUCGCCGAGUUAUUCUUCCCAAAGCGUAGGGAAUGAGAGUGGGUCUCCAAAAGAUUUCGAUCUGAAUAUCGCGGGUGUCUGAAAGAAGGCGAGACUGACAUCUUCUGCCCUGGCUCCAAGCGCGUGUGGAUGCGCAGUUCCGAGAGCGCGUGCAAGAACCCAGAAGAAGCGAAAUGAAGGGACAGCCCCGGGGCGAGGGGUAGG
Molecule: non-coding RNA, 5878 nt
Organism: Equus caballus (horse)
Lineage: Eukaryota; Metazoa; Chordata; Mammalia; Perissodactyla; Equidae
Source: RefSeq, a predicted model, not a curated record